This 253-nucleotide ribosomal RNA is filed under the name uncultured bacterium. RNAcentral's name for it is "partial 16S ribosomal RNA". It matches the Rfam family "Bacterial small subunit ribosomal RNA", at positions 524 to 776 of the family's 1533-position model. The record is from RNAcentral.
UACGAAGGGGGCUAGCGUUGUUCGGAUUUACUGGGCGUAAAGCGCGUGUAGGCGGGUCGUUAAGUUGGGGGUGAAAUCCCGGAGCUCAACUCCGGAACUGCCUCCAAAACUGGCGACCUGGAGCAGAUGAGAGGCGAGUGGAAUUCCGAGUGUAGAGGUGAAAUUCGUAGAUAUUCGGAGGAACACCAGUGGCGAAGGCGACUCGCUGGCAUCUUGCUUACGCUGAGACGCGAAAGCGUGGGGAGCAAACAGG